This 497-nucleotide ribosomal RNA is filed under the name uncultured bacterium. RNAcentral describes it as "partial 16S ribosomal RNA". It matches the Rfam family "Bacterial small subunit ribosomal RNA", at positions 28 to 507 of the family's 1533-position model. The record is from RNAcentral.
GAUGAACGCUGGCGAAGUGCAUAAUACAUGCAAGUCGAGCGAACAGACGAAGAACAUGAUAAACUGACGAAAGCGGCGGACGGGAAACACACACGUGGAUAACCUACCUAUAAGACUGGGAUAACUUCGGGAAACCGGAGCUAAUACCGGAUAAUAUAUUGAACCGCAUGGUUCAAUAGUGAAAGACGGUUUUGCUGUCACUUAUAGAUGGAUCCGCGCCGCAUUAGCUAGUUGGUAAGGUAACGGCUUACCAAGGCAACGAUGCGUAGCCGACCUGAGAGGGUGAUCGGCCACACUGGAACUGAGACACGGUCCAGACUCCUACGGGAGGCAGCAGUAGGGAAUCUUCCGCAAUGGGCGAAAGCCUGACGGAGCAACGCCGCGUGAGUGAUGAAGGUCUUCGGAUCGUAAAACUCUGUUAUUAGGGAUGAACAAAUGUGUAAGUAACUAUGCACGUCUUGACGGUACCUAAUCAGAAAGCCACGGCUAACUACGUG